RNAcentral lists this long non-coding RNA (5837 nucleotides) under Salvia miltiorrhiza (redroot sage). RNAcentral's name for it is "long non-coding RNA (SMIL_LNC000483)". Lineage: Eukaryota; Viridiplantae; Streptophyta; Magnoliopsida; Lamiales; Lamiaceae. The record is from RNAcentral.
AUAAAUACUUCCAAUCCAUCCAUGAACUCUCCUGUUGGACUACCUUGAGCAUAUCGCCUAUACAUCCACCCUCUAUCUAAACUCAUGUUUAUAUUUCCUGCAUUCAUAUAUUAUUAAUAUUUUAAUUAGUUCACACAUUAGAUAUAAAAUUAAGAUGACGAAUAAGAGUGGAAAUUAAGAUUAGAAAUUAAGAUUAAGAUUAAGAUUAAGAUAAGAAUUAGGAAUUAAGAUUAAGAUUAGGAUUAUGAAAGGAGAUUAAGAUUUGGAUUAGGAAUUAAGAUUAAGAUUAGGAUUAUGAAAGGAGAUUAAGAUUUGGAUUAGGAAUUAAGAUUAAAGAGUAGGAUUAAGAUUAAGAUUAAAAUUAGGAAUCCGAAUUAAGAUUAAGAUUAGGAUUAUGAAUUAAGAUUAAGAUUAGGAAUUCAGAUUAAGAUUAGGAAUAAGAUUAUGAUUAGAAUUAAGAUUAAGAUUAUGAAUUAAGAUUAAGAUUAUGAAUAAGAGUAGACAUUAAGAUCUCAAAUAAGGACGAAGAUUAGGAUUAUAGAAGGAUGACUGAAGAUUUGACUUAAAAAGAAUUAAAUAUGCAUAUUAUGACUUGAAAAUGAUGACGAUUAGGAUUUCAAGAAGGAUGAUGGAAGAUUGAAAUUUCAACACAACAACAAAACCAGGGCGGUAGUCAUUGCUACCGCCUCCGCCUCUCCCCCACCGGCGGCCCAAACUCUAAUUAAUCACAAUCAUACUUAAUCGCCUCUCCCCCACCGACGAAACUAUCAUGCUUAAUUAUAAUUAAAACAUGCUCAACGCAAUUAAUCAUGCUAAAUCAUAUAUUUCGCCUCUCCCCCACCGGCGAUAAAGCGAAUUAAAUAAAUUUAAACAUUAUAAGUUCUUUAAAUAGAAAUUAACCUUCAUAAGUUCUUUAAAUAGAAAUGAACCUAAGUAAGUUCUUUAAAUAGAGAUUAACCUAACUAAGUUCUUUAACUAAAUCUAAUAUAUAUAUAGAAAUCAACCUAACUAAGUUAUUUAAAUAAAUCUAAUAUUUACAAAUAAACCUAACUAAGUUCUUUAAAUAAAUCUAAAAUAAAUUAUCUUACUAAGUUAUUGUUCUUUAAACAAAUCAAAUAGAAAUGAACAUAUAUAAUUAACAUAUAAUUUCACAUUACAUUCAAACUAAAUUCACAUUAAUUCAUACUAGUAUAAUUAACAUUAAUUUGAAACAUAGCCUACAUUAAUUCACAUAUAAUUCAUACUAAGUUCUAUGUAAAUUUCUCAUUAAUUCACAUAUAAUUAACCUAAAUUCAUAUACUAACAUACCAAUAUUAACCUAAAUUCAAAUUAAUAGCCUACAUUAUAUAAGUUACACGAACUAACCUACAAUCUCUAAUUCCGGCAACGGCAGGAGCUUUCCGGCGAGGGUAGGGGCAGUCCGGCGAGGGCAGGGGCUGGGAAUUAGAGUUAGGGUUAAUAAUUGAUGAAAUGUAUAAAAAAUAAUUAGGGUUAGGAUGAAUAAUUAAUUAACUUACCGUAGAGUAGCGGCGUGCGACGGACAGAGAGCAGCGGUCGGGUCGCAUCGGACGGAGAGAAGCAGCAGCGGUCGCGUCGGACGGAGAGGAGCAGCAGCGGCGGCGUCGGUGGAGGUGGGCGUUCGAUGGACGGAGGCGGCGGUGUCGGGAACGGCGAAAUCGGCGGCAGGAGGCGGAGAAUCGGAGGAGGAAAGGUGGAGAAGAAAAUGGGGGAAAAAUUAGAAAACCUAAGUUAAGUCCGCGACUUCAACGACCGAUUCGUAAUAUAACGACCGUUUUUCGGUCGUUACCAAUUUUAAUUAUAAUAAUAAAAAUUUUGGUUUACAACGACCGAAAAACGGUCAUUAAAAAUAAUUAUUAAUUUUUUUUAGUUCUAAUAUAAAGACCGAAUUUCGGUCGUAAAUAUUAAAUAAUUUUAAAUUAAUUAAAAUACAACGACCGUUACAUAAACGGUCGUUAAAUAUUUCCGAAAAAAUAAAAAUAUCAUAACUGAAAUUAAGUUAACGACCGUUUGUAACGGUCGUUAAGUUAAAAUUAUAUCAAAAUUAAAUAAAAAAUAACCAACGACCGAAAAACGGUCGUGAAUACGGUCGUUAUAAAUUAACGACCGUUUCAUUCGGUCGUAGAAAAUAAAAAAAAUAACAUUUAAAAUAUCAAAGAAAACGGUCGUUAAUACUUAAAUUUCGGUCGUUAAGACCGCCUUUUUAAAGACUAAAAAUUUCGGUCGUUGCAGCCGCUGUUUCUUGUAGUGUGUUAAGUAAAAAUACAUAAGUUGUGAUACUUGAACAAAAAUUAAUACAGUCUAUCACUAGAAAAGUGACUAAAGACCGCGUCAUCACCAAAAUAUGAAUGAACAAUAAAUUAUGUAUGCAUUGUUAAACUAAGAUGCUAGAGUUUCACUUGUUGAAUGUUAUUGAAAUUUUUUAGACAUUCUAAAUAAUAUUUCUGUAAUUUUAACUUGUGUAAUUUAAGUUCGUCUCAUAUCAGAUUAUGUUUUUAGUUAAUCUAAAAAUGAAGAAAGAAUAGGAAAAGGAUAAAUCUCUGAAAGAAACGUGCAACACGUGUGGUCAAUGAGAUUUUAUUUUUAGCUAAUCUCAUCAAAACGAAUUCCUGGCGAAAUUCUAUAAUGAUCUGAACAUGCUUUAUUUCAUUUUAUGCUGUAUUUCAUAGAGUAGCCUCAUAUUAAGAAAUGAUUUGGAGGUUGUAAUUAGGCGUGAAGUCAGCGCUUCGGACAAACAAUCGGUAUAUACGUCGAGCUUCAUGUAAUGUAACUAAGUAGAGAAGUACCUAAUGGUCAACAUGUGCCUUUAGAUAGUGUUUGACUAAGCUUAUUCUAAAAAAACUCAUAAAAUGUUUAAUGAGCUUAUAAAAUGUUUCAAGAGUUUAUAAAAUAUAAUUUUUUAAGAGUUUAUAAGUUACCAAAGUGUUUGGGUAAUUGAGCUUAUAAGCUAGAGAGAAAAAUUUUAAUUAGUGAAAAAAGAUCGAAUAAAAAUAAAAUUAGAAUGAUAUAUGAUGAAAAUAAAAAAUUUUAGUUGAGUUAUUUUUAUAAAUGAGUAUUGCUUAUAAGAUAAUGAGAAAAUACGUUGAAGUAGAGAAACUCAUUUUUUAGAGAGUUUAUAAGCUCUUAGAGCUUAUCUUUACAAUUUAUAAAUUUUUUAAAAACUUAUUUUAUUAAACACAUUGAAUGAAUUUAUAAGCUUUUAAACAACUUAUACACUAUUUUAAAGAAACUCUGUGAAACACCCUCUUAAUCUACUCUUGCAAAUGAAAUACUACCAUUAUAACAAGUCAAAUCAACUAUGCUCACCACGAUGAUCACAUGCACAUUACUGUAGUCUUGACGGCUAAAAUCUAAGCUUGUUAUUUCAUACUGCAAAAAAAAAUUGUAUUUAUUUCAUAUUAGAUUAUUUGUGCAACAUUUCACAUUGGAUGUCAAUCGGGCCAGCCCACCGAAUUUCGGGCCAGCUCUAUCGGAUUUUAGAUUAAUCGGGUGCGGGCUAAUCGGACUGGAGAUUUUAUCGGGUUAUAAAUUUUCAACCCUAACCCUAAACGUUCGGGUUUUGGGCUAGCCCAUCGGGCUAGUUGACUUAAAUGCGUAAAAAUAAAAUAAUCAUUUGUAUUUUUGUUAUUUUUAAUGAUCUAAUGUAUAAUGUAUAAAAUAUACAUAGAAAUCAAAGAUAUAAAUUAUAUAGCAGGCAUGAAAUGCAAAAAUAUAAGAUAUUGAAAAAAAACAUCAAGAUUACAUAGCAUAUAAAAUAAAUUGGUAACAAUAAAAUGUUCAACUUUGUUAAUGAAAAAAUAAUAAAAUAUCCAAUAAUAGUUUGAAUUCAUAGAAUCAAAGCAUCUCAAAAAUACUAAAAAGUGAAAUGAUGAGACGUUAUAAUAUUUUGUCAUUUUUUUAUUUUUAUAUCUAAAUAUUUAAUAUUAAGUAUUCGGGUUUCGGGCUAGCCCAUCGGGUUAGUCUGGCCGACCCUAUCGGGUGUCGAGCUAUUCUGUUACGAGUUAAUCGGAUUGUAACUUUUAUUGGGUUGAAAAUAUUCAACCCUAACCCUCUCGAAUGACGGGUUAAUCGGGUCAGCCCACAAAUUUCGAGCUAGAUUGACAUCCCUAUGCAUUUGUAUGCGACUUCACAAGUGAAAUGAAGCAUUUUGUAGAUGGCGUGAGCGUGGGACAUAAUAGAGACAAAGGAGGGCUUGGGAAGAGGGGGGACUUCUUUUUUCUUUCUGUUGAAAUAUUGUUUUUAUAAGAGUUAAUGACUAAUAAAAUCACAACUUUUGAGUAUAUUUUGAUUUUAAUCUCUAACAAAAUAUUUAUGAAAUAGUAAAUUUUGGGCAUAUUUUGAUUUUAAUCUCUAACAAAAAAAUUUGCAUAUAAAUUAUUUAAACUUUUAAUUGUUUCUGAUUUAUUUAACCACGGAAACAGUAUCUGACCACAUACAUGGCAUUUUAAUCUUAAAAUUAUUAAACAAUUGUAAUUUAAAAAUAUUUAAAUGUAAUCUUAAUCUUAAAAACUAUUGUAAUUUAAAAAGAUUUAAAUUAGUUAUAAUUAAACAAUCAUGUAAAUUUUUUGAAAGGAAAAAAUGACAUCUACUUAUUUUUUCACCAAUAAACGGAAACAAAAUGAAAAAAAUGUAUACGAUGUUCACAUUAGAGAUAAUGAGAGCGAACAAAAAUUAAUUUUGACACUUUAAAUAAUAUUAAUAACUUAUUCAUUUCAAAAUUAUUUUUUUUUUAUAAUUUUUACAUAAAUUAAAGAUAUUUUCAUAAUUUUUUAGUUAACAAGCAUAUUUAGUACUCCCUCCGUCCAUGAUUCAGUGUCCUGUUUGGCCUUUAAAAAGUGUCCACAAUUGAAUGCCUUGUUUUGCUUUUUGUACCCUUUUACCCUCCAUCUUUAUUUAAAAUUGCUACCAUUUGCCAUUCAUUACCCCACCCCUUAUUGUGAAGUUAGUUAAUUAAAUCAUCAUUAACACCUAAUUACUCUCUCCCUAUUUGCACGAUGCAAUCUUAUUUUUUGGCCUCUUCAUUCAUUCGAACCCUAGCGCCGCUUCAUCUCUCUCACUCUCCAUUCUGAAAACCCUAGCGUCGCUUCCUCUCUCUCUCCCGAUUUUUUGGCCUCUCCAUUCAUGAAUCCACCUCCAUCCAAAUUUUCUCCAUCUUCAUCGAUGGAGGGCAUUUUUAUGGAUUCUUUGGAUGGAUUUGUGUUGCGGGAGACGUUUGUGCCAGAAACUGAAUUUUCUCUUCUCGAUCUCUCUGAAUCGGUUGAAUUCGUGCCUGAAACCGAAGCGGCGCCGUGGUUGCUGCCGGAAUCCGUAGCGGCGCGCCUCCCUCUCUCUGAAUCGGUUGAAUUCGUGCCUGAAACUGAACUAGGGUCGAAGUCGGAGUCGUCGUUGCUCCCUGUCACCGGAUCGGAGUCGUCGCCACCGGAAUCCGAAGCGUCGCCAUGGAUGCUGCCAAGAACCGAGGCAGCCUCCCUCCCUCGCUCUGAAUCGGAGCAGAUUUUGCCUCCUUACGAAGGCGGACAUGGUUGCUACCGGAAACUGAGCCGGCAGCCCUCUCUCUCUCACCAUCGCCGGAACCUCUCUCUGAACCGCCGGAAUACGAUUCCGAUGGCUUCCAUCUCUCUGAACAAAUUAGAUCCACACUACCCUUUUAUUGUGAAGUUAUUUAUGCUUUUUCCAUUAAUUGAAAUAAGGAAACAAACUGAAAAAUGAAAUUUAAUAAACUGAAAAUUUAAUAAACUGAAAAUUUUAAACUGAAAAAAUUUAAAUUUAAUAAUCUGAAAAAUGAAAUUUAAUAAAUUGAAAAUUUUAAAUUAAAAAAA